Molecule: ribosomal RNA, 391 nt
Filed under: uncultured bacterium
Lineage: Bacteria
Description: bacterial SSU rRNA
Rfam family: Bacterial small subunit ribosomal RNA
Source: RNAcentral
AUUGAACGCUGGCGGCAUGCCUUACACAUGCAAGUCGAACGGCAGCGGACCUUCGGGUGCCGGCGAGUGGCGAACGGGUGAGUAAUGUAUCGGAACGUACCUUUCAGUGGGGGAUAACGUAGCGAAAGUUACGCUAAUACCGCAUAUUCUGUGAGCAGGAAAGCAGGGGAUCGCAAGACCUUGCGCUGAUUGAGCGGCCGAUAUCAGAUUAGCUAGUUGGUGAGGUAAAGGCUCACCAAGGCGACGAUCUGUAGCGGGUCUGAGAGGAUGAUCCGCCACACUGGAACUGAGACACGGUCCAGACUCCUACGGGAGGCAGCAGUGGGGAAUUUUGGACAAUGGGCGCAAGCCUGAUCCAGCCAUGCCGCGUGAGUGAAGAAGGCCUCGGUUG